GGCUUCGUGGUCAAGUGGUAAAGACACGUACCUCUCACCCUGGAGUCCCGGGUUCGAUCCCCAGUCGAAGAGUUA
Rhamnusium bicolor is the source of this 75-nucleotide non-coding RNA. The record is from the annotation of a GenBank genome assembly. Lineage: Eukaryota; Metazoa; Arthropoda; Insecta; Coleoptera; Cerambycidae.